RNAcentral lists this ribosomal RNA (465 nucleotides) under Vreelandella stevensii. Its description in RNAcentral is "partial 16S ribosomal RNA". It matches the Rfam family "Bacterial small subunit ribosomal RNA", at positions 338 to 795 of the family's 1533-position model. Lineage: Bacteria; Pseudomonadati; Pseudomonadota; Gammaproteobacteria; Oceanospirillales; Halomonadaceae. The record is from RNAcentral.
CCUACGGGUGGCUGCAGUGGGGAAUAUUGGACAAUGGGGGGAACCCUGAUCCAGCCAUGCCGCGUGUGUGAAGAAGGCCCUCGGGUUGUAAAGCACUUUCAGUGAGGAAGAACGCCUGGUGGUUAAUACCCAUCAGGAAAGACAUCACUCACAGAAGAAGCACCGGCUAACUCCGUGCCAGCAGCCGCGGUAAUACGGAGGGUGCGAGCGUUAAUCGGAAUUACUGGGCGUAAAGCGCGCGUAGGUGGCUUGAUAAGCCGGUUGUGAAAGCCCCGGGCUCAACCUGGGAACGGCAUCCGGAACUGUCAAGCUAGAGUGCAGGGGAGGAAGGUAGAAUUCCCGGUGUAGCGGUGAAAUGCGUAGAGAUCGGGAGGAAUACCAGUGGCGAAGGCGGCCUUCUGGACUGACACUGACACUGAGGUGCGAAAGCGUGGGUAGCAAACAGGAUUAGAUACCCUUGUAGUC